This 167-nucleotide small nuclear RNA is filed under the name Micromonas pusilla. RNAcentral's name for it is "partial Dictyostelium signal recognition particle". Lineage: Eukaryota; Viridiplantae; Chlorophyta; Mamiellophyceae; Mamiellales; Mamiellaceae. The record is from RNAcentral.
CCGACAGGCCCUUGGAGCAGAUGAUCUACGAGCGCCUGCUCUCCUCCCACCACAGGGUGGCCAACCCGGAGGACGCAGACCUGUUCUUCCUGCCCAUCCCCACGCGAUCCGCGUUCCGGGGGGGGCUCGAUAACGUCCAGGGGUGGCCGGGGGUGACGGAUUUCUUC